RNAcentral lists this microRNA precursor (78 nucleotides) under Cavia aperea (Brazilian guinea pig). Its description in RNAcentral is "miRNA (ENSCAPG00000003444.1)". Lineage: Eukaryota; Metazoa; Chordata; Mammalia; Rodentia; Caviidae. The record is from RNAcentral.
CCUUGAGCUCACUUUGUAGCCCAGGCUGGCCUUAAAUUUGCAGUGAUCUUUCUGCCUCAGCCUCCUGAGUGCUGGGGU